GAAUCAAUGAGAAGUGAGCUAUAUUAAGGCUUAUUACAUUAAGAGCAAAUUACAUACAUUUUUUCCUCCUGACACAAACUUUAACUGGAAUUGCUGACGCGCAAAAAAAAGAUUUGUAACUUACUAGCAAGCGCUGUUGGGAGAAAAAGACAAGAUAAUUUUCAAAGGACAAAGAACGACAGCGUCAAAUGAGCUCAGUGCUGCUCAACUGGUACAACAAAUGGUACUUUAUGUAAUGGCUUCUUGUGUAAUCAGAAUGUGCGACCACCUAUUUAAGAUAUAUACACGGUCAGAGGAGACGAGCUAUUGGAGAUAAAGAUGUUUGUGCUGCAUGCUGUAAUACUAACCAAUGUAACGCAGAAGAUUGUAGAAGUCUUAGUAAAAGUAUUAAACUAUUAAGAUUUGA
Mytilus californianus (California mussel) is the source of this 406-nucleotide long non-coding RNA. RefSeq lists it as uncharacterized. The transcript has 3 exons. The record is from RefSeq and is a predicted model, not a curated record. NCBI's taxonomy places the organism in Eukaryota, Metazoa, Mollusca, Bivalvia, Mytilida, Mytilidae.